Molecule: ribosomal RNA, 201 nt
Filed under: uncultured prokaryote
Description: partial 16S ribosomal RNA
Rfam family: Bacterial small subunit ribosomal RNA
Source: RNAcentral
UACGGAGGGUGCGAACGUUAAUCGGAAUCACUGGGCGUAAAGCGCGCGUAGGUGGCUUCGUAAGUCCGUUGUGAAAGUCAAAGGCUCAACCUUUGAAUGCCGAUGGAUACUGCGAAGCUAGAGUACGGAAGAGGCGAGUGGAAUUCCUGGUGUAGCGGUGGAAUGCGCAGAUAUCAGGAGGAACACCAAUAGCGAAGGCAG